GGAAGUGAUCGUUGACGUAUAGUGACGUUGGUUCCCGCUCUUUUUCAAAAUUUGAAUCUGGCAGACGGAGAAAGCGUUUAGCGCUACAUUAGCUCAAUUAAGGAAACAAGCUGUGGACACGGACAUGUCGUGAUGUGAUGAUGGCCAGCAUUUGAGAUGGUCACAGCAUCCUGGGUGCAUUCAUUUGAUAAGAGUUUUCAUUCUGACUGACAUGGGAAAGAUUUCUUGUAGACGACGAUCAAAAAGGAGACGAUCAAACUCCAUACAGAGAGAAAAUGACCAGCAAGGAGUCAUCUCCGAUAACGUGAAACAGGAGAGUGAGAUUUCUGAGCACAGCUUCUCUGAGCCGAGACACAAUGAAAAUGAAUCCGAUGUAUUUUCCAACUCACUGAGCCAGAACACUUCUGCUGUGGAUGGAAGUCAUGUUUUUUUUCCAGUUUUUUCCCAUAGUAACGUAGGACAAGUAACGAUCAACAGCACUUACGCAAUAAAUAACAAGUCACCUGAUACCAGGGAGAGAAAUCCAGAAUCUCAGGCUCAGGAUGGAUCCUCUGACGUUGACGCCUCUGCAACAACUAUUUUAAGGACUCCUAAAAAAUCCAAGAAGUUCAGGAGAAGUCGACGUUCUGCUGCCAGACGAUCUCUCACCCACUUCCGCGGACCACGUGACAUCGUGGGUGAGAUUACUGGAGCUCACGUCACCUCCGAGUAUCACUGCAGUGAUUGCAGAUUCAAAAUUCCUUCCUGGAAACCUUUAUGCUUUAACGUCAAGUGUCCCGGGUGCAAGAUGAGCUGGAAGUGCGAUAAAAUCCAGUGUACUUGCAAAGCUAAAAUAACCCUGGAGCUGCCCAGUGGGCAGACGCAGAGGGUCACGCUGGACGAUUCGCUAAUGCGCUCCAUUGUUAGGUUUAAAACACAGGGCUACUGCAAGACGGAGAGAAUCGAGACGAAGAUUCUGAAGAUUGGGAGCGUGAGAGUGGUGUAUAACGAUGGAGUCUUGAGGAGCGUGAGCAAGAUUUCGUCCAGCUCCAUGUCUCUCCGUGAUAUUCCAGACGCCUUCCCUAGUUUCUGAUUAGGGAUUCUGAAAUCUGGACUCCAGUAUGGUAAUAAAUGUGUAAAAUGUGUAAAAAAAAAAAAAAAAAACCCAAAACAAACAAAUCAAUAAUUUCGAAAGUUACAUCAAUGUUUAUGUGUGGAAAGUUCCUCGUAUUCAGAGUGGGGUUACACACACGUUAAAGCCGAAUACCGGGUCUCUGUAGUUCACGCCUCUGUGGUUGACCAGGACCCUGUCGCCGGUCCACCGGUCCUUUCUUGGACCACUUUUGGUAGAUAUUAACUCGAGAAACACCCAUGUGUCCGCCGAUAAAGGCAAUUUUUCACGUUACCGAUAAAAACAUCCGGUGAUCAGGGCCAAUUAUAUCAUGUCAAUCAAAAGAGGGCGGGAAAACACACUGAUUUUGUGCUGUGUGUAAAGACGAUGUUGAUAGUGUGAUUAAGGUGUGUACAGGUCUGUAAUACAGACCGAUAACGUGAUUAAAACAGGAAUACUCCACACAUCUUAAUUCCAUCUGUGCUUACUUUGAUUAUGACUUUAGUCUGAUUAAGGUCAUCACUGAUCUCUGUUUACAUGCUAGUUUCUUAAUCAGAGUAUCGUCUUAAUCAGGUUGAUAUCAGAGUAUCGUCGUCCGUGUAGACGUACUGACUGUUAUUCACUUCACCUGCCAGUGGUCUUAAUGUUAUGGCUGAUCAAUGUAUAUUUUAUCGUGAACUAUUGUGGUUACAUAAAACUGUCAGACUGUGCUACUGGACAUAAUACUGCUCCUAACUCGAGCCGAUAUCACGCAAGAAAACGC
Molecule: long non-coding RNA, 1853 nt
Organism: Ictalurus punctatus (channel catfish)
Lineage: Eukaryota; Metazoa; Chordata; Actinopteri; Siluriformes; Ictaluridae
Source: Ensembl